GUAGACAUAGUUUUUAAAAAAAACAUUAGAUUGUGAUUCUAAAAAUAGGAGUUCAAAUCUCCUUGUCCACC
RNAcentral lists this transfer RNA (71 nucleotides) under Lobotes surinamensis (Atlantic tripletail). Its description in RNAcentral is "tRNA-His". It matches the Rfam family "tRNA". From Rfam's summary of the family: Transfer RNA (tRNA) molecules are approximately 80 nucleotides in length. Their secondary structure includes four short double-helical elements and three loops (D, anti-codon, and T loops). The record is from RNAcentral. Lineage: Eukaryota; Metazoa; Chordata; Actinopteri; Lobotiformes; Lobotidae.